Long non-coding RNA from Onychostoma macrolepis, 3792 nucleotides. RefSeq lists it as uncharacterized. NCBI's taxonomy places the organism in Eukaryota, Metazoa, Chordata, Actinopteri, Cypriniformes, Cyprinidae. The record is from RefSeq and is a predicted model, not a curated record. The transcript is spliced from 5 exons.
CCAUACUGCACUUGUGAUCAAUAUGAUACCUCUUCAUUCACUGCUACGAACUGAUGGUGGUCAGAUAAGUACGAUUUGAACCAUGCUAAGGCGCUUCCACUAAUGCCAACAAAGUUUUGUAGUCUAUUCAAAAGAAUGUUGUGGUCGAUAGUGUCGAAUGCAGCGCUAAGAUCCAGUAGAACUAAUAAAGAGCUACAACCACGAUCAGAUGAUAGAAGCAGGUCAUUUGUAACUCUAAUGAGAGCAGUCUCAGUACUAUGAUACGAUCUAAAUCCUGACUGGAAUUCCUCAAAGAUAUCAUUUUUCUCUAGGAAGGAAUAUAAUUGUGAGGAUACUACCUUUUCUAGUAUCUUUGACAGAAAAGGGAGAUUUGAGAUCGGUCUGUAAUUAACUAGAUCUUUGGGGUCAAGUUGUGUUUUUAAUGAGAGUCUUAAUAACAGCCAAUUUGAAGGUUUUGGGGACAUAUCCUAAUGACAAUGAUGAAAUCUGAUAGAAGAUCAGAAAGUUUUUUAAUAAAGUCUGUAUGGUGCCCUGGUGGCCUGUAUACAGUAGCCAGUACAAACAUCACAGGGGAUUUAUCAUUAAUACUUGUUUCUUUGGAUAACGUUAUAUGAAGCACCAUUACUUCGAACGAAUUAUACUUGAAACCCGACCUCUGAUAGAUACUGAAAAUAUUGCUAUAAAUUGUAGCAACAGCUCCCCCUUUACCUUUUGGAUGCGGUUCAUGUUUGUAACAGUAAUCUUGUGGUGUAGACUCGUUUAAAGUAAUGUAAUCGUCUUGUUUUAGCCAGGUUUCUGUCAGACAAAGCACAUCUAGUUUAUGGUCAGUGAGCAUAUCAUUUACAAAAAGUGCUUUUGAAGAAAGGGAUCUAAUAUUCAAUAAGCCAAACUUUAUCAUGCGUUUAUCUGUAUUAUAUCGUUUUUUUUAGUUGUUGAACAUCAAUUAAAUUGUUACUAUUACUUUGGUUUGGAUGUUUUCUGUAUUUUCUAGUUCGGGGAACAGACACAGUCUCUAUAGUGUGAUAUCUAGGUGAAAAAGUUUCUAUGUGCUGAGAGUUAACUGACUUCUGUGACGUGAGGCGGCUAGCAGACGAUCGGUUUAGCCAGUCUGUCUGCUUCCUGACCUGGGCCCCAGUUAGUCAAGUAGGGUCACCUGAUAGUUCACAGGUCCCAGUUUACGUACAAUCCGGUAAGGUCCUUUCCACUUCUUGGCUAGUUUAGCGGUGAAAUGAUGCAGUGCACUUGAUUGUGGAAAGUUCCUUACCCAGACUCGAUCUUGGAAUUUGUAGGACACUUCCCUUCGAUUUUUAUCAUAGUUUCGAAGCUGACGGAGAUGUGCUCUCUUAGAACUGAUUUCAGCAUUCUUCUGAAAUUGUUUCAGAUGGUGGACAGUCUCAUAGGGAGAAGUGUCCGGAUGAACUGCAAUAUCUGCCCGAAGUAUUCUAUCUAUAGGACUCUGAAGUUUCCUUCCAAUGUGUAAUUCGGCAGGUGUCAGGCCAAUGGUUUCCUGUACCGCAGAGUUCAAUGCAAAUCUAAAUUCGUGUAAAUAUUUCCGCUCUGAGGAUACGUGCAAUAGUUGAAGACGUUGCAGUAUGCAUGGGAAAAAUCUCCACCCAUCGGGUAUGAUAGUCUACAGUCACUAAGGAUUCUUGUGGUAUGCUUUGAAUACCUGGAAAGUAAGUGAGGAUGGGAUGUAUAUGCGGUAGUGGAAUUGUUGAUCAGUCACCUGUGUCUUCCUGUAUAACUCAUCCUCCAAGACUGUGUAUUUCUCCUCAGCUUCUUUGUCUCCCUCUGCUACUGCUUUAAACAAUUUCUCCAUCUCAGGAUCCUUGUGUUGUUCUUCCCAAAUAAGGUCGGCAGUGAAAGGAAGGUCAUUCUUCUCUUUCUGCGAAGAGAACAGAACACAUCCAGUGGUGGUGGGAAUCCGGGAGAGCGCGUCAGGAAUGACAUUGAGCUUACCCUUAUGGUACUCCACUACAAAAUCAAAUCUCUGUAACCUCAGGGCCCAUCUUAACAGGCGAUUUGUGGUUUUCUGGGAAGUCAGGACCCACUACAAGGCAGAAUGAUCUGUGAUCACAGUGAAUAAUUUUUGUUCCAAAUAGUAGUGUGGGCCUUUUCUAAGGCCCACACUACAGCAAGGCACUCUUUUUCUGUAGCAGAAUUAUUUUUUUCUGAUUUAGUUAAGGUUCUGCUAGCAUAUGCUAUCACUUGUUCAGUAUCAGGCCCCCGUUUUCUGUGCAAGAACCGCUCCAAGACCAGUCUCGCUCGCAUCGGUAUAGACAGUAAAUGGAAGGUUUUGGUUGGGGUGGCCAAGGAUUGGGUGUGAAGUCAAACAUGCUUUAAGGUGAUCAAAAGCCUGUUGACAUUCAGAAGACCAAAAGAAAGGACGCCCCUUCUUCUUCAAGUCAUUCAAGGGUUCUGCGAUCCUGGAGAACCCUGGAACAAAAUGAUGGUACCAUCCAGACAACCCAAGAAAUCUUUGUACCUCCUUGAGGUUUUUGGGGACCGGAUAAGCCUGAACGCUCUGUAUUUUUCCAGGAUCUGCUGUGACACCUUUGAUACUCACAAUGUGUCCUAAAAACUUGACUUCUUCCAAGCAGAAUUUGCUUUUCUUCAUGUUGAUUGUGAGACGUGCUUCAUGUAGUUUGUUAAACACCUUUUGGAUGUCUAAGAAAUGUUGGGACACAGAAGAGGAGUAGAUGAUAAUAUCAUCCAAGUAAACCAGACAACAGUGACCCCGUAAAUUUCCCAAGACCAACUCCAUUAGCCUCUGAAAAGUAGCUGGAGCAUUUUUUAGCCCAAAGGGCAUCACAUUAAAGUGAUAGAGGCCAGAUGGGGUUAUGAAGGCAGUCUUAGACUUCUCUCUGGGGCCAUUUGCACUUGCCAAUACCCACUGUUUAAGUCAAUUGUUGUAAAAAUGACUGAACCAGCGAGGGACUCUAGAAUCUCUGCAAUUGAAGGAAGAGGGAACCAACACUACAGGAGAAGACCAACCAGAAUGUGAUGGUUCAAAAAUACCUGAGGAUAACAUCUCUGCGAGCUGUUCCUUGAUUAUGUCCUGUCUAGUUGGAGACAUCCGAUAGGGUUUUUGUUUUAUGGGGACAUUGACUGUAGAGUAUAUUUGAUGUUGAAGUACCUUUGUUCUGCCAGUUGUGUGGGUACAUACCUCAGGGUUUGAUUUCAGAAGUUCCCGCAGUUUUGGUUUUACAGAUUCAUGUAGUUGGGCAGAGGAAACAGCUUGAUCUAUUUAAUCGUGUACAUUUAGUCGAACCACUUCUCCAGAACACAUAGGCAGUGGAAUGGAGCUGAUGAGACCAAGUUGAUGUUUUUGUUCAUAUCUUUUGUUGUUCUUAUUUCUAGAUCCUUUCCAUCCAGACACCCAGGCAUUACCAGGUUGGAAGGGAUGGACAACAGAAGAUCUUUGCUUAUUGUGUUGAUUGACAAAUUGAGAAGAGGUAGAAGUUUAUUGAGGACAUGAACCAGGAGAAUGCAAACCUUUGCAGCGCCAACACAGAGUUGAUGUCCAAGACGUACAAGUUCAUCCACAUAAUUUACCCUUCCACGGAGCUGACUGGCAAGUUUCUUAUUGGUUGAGCUGGGGAUACGAGGCUAUAAAGUGGAAGGAGGCGGACCCUCUCGCACCGGCCACAGCUUUCUCCACAGCCACAUCACCGCGUACUUUUACUUCGUUUGUAAUUAUAGUUUGGAGCGGGGAGUCCCUGCUUGUUUCUGUUAGUUUAGUUAUUCUUUCCUUUGUUGCUGGGCUCCCCAUCUCUUAUUUUUGGUUACUUU